AUGCUAAAAAAUAGUUUGUUGGUGGGUUUGGCACCUUAUCUUAUACCCAACGGUGUUGCGGUGCUUCAAUAUGCUGAUGGUACUAUUGUCUGUUUGGAUCAUGAUGUCGAUAGAGCAGUUAACCUGAAGUUGCUGCUAUACAUAUUUGAGCUGAUGUCUGGGCUUAAAGUUAAUUACCAAAAAAGUGAGAUUUUCACUGUGGGUGGUGGUGAGAAUAUUGUGAAACAAUAUGCUGACUUGUUUAAUUGCGAUGUGGGUAUUUUUCCUAUCAAGUAUCUUGGCAUGCCUGUCAGCUAUACUACUCUCAGAGAUUCAGACUGGGAGUUUAUAGUGGUUAAAUAUCUUAAAAGAUUUGAGGCAUGGAUCGAUAAUGCCGCAUCCAUGGGGGUGGGAGGCUUACUUUGCUGGAUUCGGUUGUUACCCAAAUAUCUCUGUAUCAUAUGUCUAUGUGGCUUAUGA
Molecule: ribosomal RNA, 459 nt
Filed under: Triticum aestivum (bread wheat)
Lineage: Eukaryota; Viridiplantae; Streptophyta; Magnoliopsida; Poales; Poaceae
Description: partial small subunit ribosomal RNA
Source: RNAcentral